Molecule: unclassified non-coding RNA, 89 nt
Filed under: Pseudomonas cedrina
Lineage: Bacteria; Pseudomonadati; Pseudomonadota; Gammaproteobacteria; Pseudomonadales; Pseudomonadaceae
Source: RNAcentral
UGUGGGAGCUGGCUUGCCUGCGAUAGCGGUGGGACAGUUAUAUAGUUGUUGGCUGGCACACAGCCAUCGCAGGCAAGCCAGCUCCCACA